Molecule: ribosomal RNA, 96 nt
Filed under: Vibrio sp. 99-70-13A1
Lineage: Bacteria; Pseudomonadati; Pseudomonadota; Gammaproteobacteria; Vibrionales; Vibrionaceae
Description: partial 16S ribosomal RNA
Rfam family: Bacterial small subunit ribosomal RNA
Source: RNAcentral
UUAAAUUGAAGAGUUUGAUCAUGGCUCAGAUUGAACGCUGGCGGCAGGCCUAACACAUGCAAGUCGAGCGGAAACGACAUUAUUGAUUCUUCGGAU